Molecule: non-coding RNA, 1386 nt
Organism: Hydra vulgaris (swiftwater hydra)
Lineage: Eukaryota; Metazoa; Cnidaria; Hydrozoa; Anthoathecata; Hydridae
Source: RefSeq, a predicted model, not a curated record
CUAUAUGAUAAAGCAUUCAGUUUCUAGAGUGUUUGAAUAUCUUUUGGAUUAUGAAAGUAACUGCAUAAUGAGUUUAUCACAAGAAGAGCGUGAUAAUGUACAAAUUAUUUGCAAAGUAGGAGGUGAUGGUCAAAGUGAUCAAUCGGAGUUUCAAAAUUCAGCAACUAUGAAAAGAGGUGUAGAUGAUCGCUCUGUGUAUAGUAUAGUGUUUGUACUGCUGGAGAUCCGAAGUGGAGAAAAAAUAAUAUGGAAAAAUUUAAUUCCAAAUAGUCCAGAUGCAACCCGUCAUCUUUUUUGUUUUGCAAAAGAGACUGCUAGUUUUAUUCAGGAAAAAUUUGAACAUUUGAAAAAUUAAAUUUUUUUAUUGAAGAAUAUUGAAUUUAAACUUGGUGAAAGUACUUUUGUAGUAAAGUCUAGUUUGUCAACUAUUUAUACCACAAUGAAUGAUGGCAAAACACUAAACGCUGUUGUAUCAAAUAUGCUUAAAAAAAGAAUUUCAUCUCAGUCCUACCAUGUAUGCUUUGCAAAUUCUAAGGAGUUUAACUUGAAAACUAUUUGUAAAAAAAAUAUUAACUUAAACAAGCAUGUUUUGAAACUUGGAAUUUGCAGUCUUCAUCUAUGGAUUUAUUGAAAACAAAAAAAAAUUCCAGCAUUUAUUCAAGAUAAAACUGAAUAUAAGGGUUUCUUUUGUCAGGAAAGGAUGUGGAACAACCAAUACUGGAAAUGUUGCUCGCAAAUUUUUUAAUAACCCCAUUGUGACAGGGAGAAUUUUAAACUUGGAUAUCAGAAUGAUUAAGUUGUUUCGAGAUUUACUCAUUGAUAUAAACAGAACAACUACAAGACCGGAUAUAAAGGUUUUCAAACAGAAAUCUGAACAUCUAUUUGCACUCAUAACUAAUAAUAAAUUUUUAAAAACCAUACCUAUGUCACAAUCUGUGCAUAGAGUGAUAGUUCAUGGUACUUCUUUUAUAAGGUAUUUUAAGUAUCCGAUAGGUUCUUUGUCUGAGAGUGCUAUUGAAGCCAGAAAUAAGGAAAACAAAACUGCUCGAAUUGGUCAUGCUCGUUUAACCUCUUUUGCAGAAAACACUAGGGAUACAGCUAAUUAUUUGUUUAUGACAUCUGAUAUGUACCUCUUUUGCAAAAAAAAUAAAAUGGAUAAAAAAAGAGUGAAAACAAAAUAGUUUAAGAAAGCAAAGUGACAGUUCUUCUGAUAACUGCUUAAAAUAAAGGAAGUAAGACCAUGAAGAAUCAUACUGAUGAGCUGUUCUGCGUUGAGUUUUUAAAAAACGGCUAUUUUCAUAGCCACAAGUUAUUAAAAACAUCUAUUAGAAUAGAAUGUUGAGAAACUGUAAAAGAAUGCAAAGAGCCAAGUAUCAUAUGAUAGCA